This 513-nucleotide ribosomal RNA is filed under the name uncultured bacterium. RNAcentral's name for it is "partial 16S ribosomal RNA". It matches the Rfam family "Bacterial small subunit ribosomal RNA", at positions 28 to 523 of the family's 1533-position model. The record is from RNAcentral.
GACGAACGCUGGCGGCGUGCCUAAUACAUGCAAGUAGAACGCUGAAGAAAGGAGCUUGCUUCUCUUGGAUGAGUUUCGAACGGGUGAGUAACGCGUAGGUAACCUGCCUUGUAGCGGGGGAUAACUAUUGGAAACGAUAGCUAAUACCGCAUAACAGCUUUUUACACAUGUUAGAAGCUUGAAAGAUGCACGUGCAUCACUACGAUGUGGAACUUCGUUGUAUUAGCUAGUAGGUAGGGUAACGGCCUACCUGGGCGACGAUACAUAGCCCACCUGAGAGGGUGAUCGGCGACACUGGGACUGAGACACGGCCCAGACUCAUACGGGAGGCAGCAGUAGGGAAUCUUCGGCAAUGGGGGAAACCCUGACCGAGCAACGCCGCGUGAGUGAAGAAGGUUUUCGGAUAGUAAAGCUCUGUUGUAAGAGAAGAACGUGUGUGAGAGUGGAAAGUUCACACAGUGACUGUAACUUACCAGAAAGGGACGGCUAACUACGUGCCAGCAGCCGCAGUAA